CUGUCCUCUCCCUCUCCCCGGAGCUCUAAUGGGUAGAGAGCGAGGCUUGCUUCCCUACACCCGCAUUGCAGGGGAGCCUUAGAUGGGGCAGUACAGGCCCCUUUCCACCCAUCUUCGGCCUCUCCAGUCCCCACCCAAGCAGCCCCAAUCAUGCACGCGGCCCCCCAGGUGGAGGCACUGACGCGGCAGCCGCGAGCCACGACGGUGCACGCGGUGCGCGACACGGAGCUGGCCAAGCUUCCCGAGGGCACCUUGGGUCACAUCAAACGCCGGUACCCGCAGGUCGUGACCCGCCUUAUCCACCUACUGAGCCAGAAAAUUCUAGGGAAUUUGCAGCAGCUGCAAGGACCCUUCCCAGGCUCCGGGCUGGGUGUGCCCCCACACUCGGAACUCACCAACCCAGCCAGCAACCUGGCAACUGUGGCAGUCCUGCCUGUGUGUGCUGAGGUCCCCAUGGUGGCCUUCACGCUGGAGCUGCAGCACGCCCUGCAGGCCAUCGGUCCGACGCUACUCCUUAACAGUGACAUCAUCCGG
This 534-nucleotide small RNA is filed under the name Pongo abelii (Sumatran orangutan). RNAcentral's name for it is "retained intron". The record is from RNAcentral. Lineage: Eukaryota; Metazoa; Chordata; Mammalia; Primates; Hominidae.